UGGGGAAUAUUGGACAAUGGGCGCAAGCCUGAUCCAGCCAUGCCGCGUGAGUGAUGAAGGCCUUAGGGUUGUAAAGCUCUUUCAGUAGGGAAGAUAAUGACGGUACCUACAGAAGAAGCCCCGGCUAACUUCCUGCCAGCAGCCGCGGUAAUACGAAGGGGGCUAGCGUUGUUCGGAUUUACUGGGCGUAAAGCGCACGUAGGCGGGUCGUUAAGUCAGGGGUGAAAUCCUGGAGCUCAACUCCAGAACUGCCUUUGAUACUGGCGACCUAGAGUCCGGAAGAGGUGAGUGGAACUCCUAGUGUAGAGGUGGAAUUCGUAGAUAUUAGGAAGAACACCAGUGGCGAAGGCGGCUCACUGGUCCGGUACUGACGCUGAGGUGCGAAAGCGUGGGGAGCAAACAGG
Molecule: ribosomal RNA, 404 nt
Filed under: Acidobacteriota bacterium
Lineage: Bacteria; Pseudomonadati; Acidobacteriota
Description: Acidobacteria bacterium partial 16S ribosomal RNA
Rfam family: Bacterial small subunit ribosomal RNA
Source: RNAcentral